RNAcentral lists this ribosomal RNA (205 nucleotides) under Chloropicon mariensis. Its description in RNAcentral is "partial Bacterial small subunit ribosomal RNA". It matches the Rfam family "Bacterial small subunit ribosomal RNA", at positions 583 to 787 of the family's 1533-position model. Lineage: Eukaryota; Viridiplantae; Chlorophyta; Chloropicophyceae; Chloropicales; Chloropicaceae. The record is from RNAcentral.
UUAAGUCUGAUGUGAAAGCCCCCGGCUCAACCGGGGAGGGUCAUUGGAAACUGGGGAACUUGAGUACAGAAGAGGAGAGUGGAAUUCCAUGUGUAGCGGUGAAAUGCGCAGAGAUAUGGAGGAACACCAGUGGCGAAGGCGACUUUCUGGUCUGUAACUGACGCUGAUGUGCGAAAGCGUGGGGAUCAAACAGGAUUAGAUACCC